RNAcentral lists this unclassified non-coding RNA (849 nucleotides) under Hevea brasiliensis (rubber tree). The record is from RNAcentral. Lineage: Eukaryota; Viridiplantae; Streptophyta; Magnoliopsida; Malpighiales; Euphorbiaceae.
UAAGCAAACUGAGAACCAUUGCCAGCAGCUGCAAGGAUCAAUAUUCAUCAUUAUUAGAAAAAAAAAUCAAGAUUCUAAAGGAUCAAGCUUUUUUUCUCAAUUAUUAUGAGAAAAGUAUAUUUCUACAUAUGGAGCAUUCAAAUGGUUUUACCUCACAAGCUUCCAUAAAAAAAAUUAAGAUAAAUUACUUUUUCACAUCCAGGUCAUGUCAAAAUUAACACUUCAAAUUCAGUUAAUUUUCCAUUGGUUGAAUGAAAAUAAGCCCAACCUAAAUACCCUUAAUGAGAUGCUUUCUAUCUCUUUGUUCUUCUCUCUCCUCCCCAUACCUUCUCUCUGUCUGUUCUUCUUCCUGCCCACCCUCUCCACGACCCCAAUCAAACAUGCUCUCCCUAAUCCUAUUCCAGAUUCCCAAUAGCACAACCACAAUCUUUUAGAGAAUCCAAUCAAAGUAAGUGAAAUCUCUUCCUUUCCUCUUCCUUAAUUCCAAUUUUCAACACCAUUAAUUCAAUUUUUUCCUCCUCAUUCAAUUCCUUUUUUAUUUUUUCUUGUUUGUGGUGUUCUAAUUAGUGCAUGUUCCAAAACAUACAAGCAAUGACGAGCCACCACACAAUUUCUCAGAGCCUGACCAAUAAACAAUAGCAUUUUAAUGUGUUUGAGGAAAACUUGAAGCAUAUUCACAAGGUGAACCAGAAGGAUAAGCCUUACAACUAAGAUUGAAUAAGUUUGCUGACAUGAAUAACCAAGAGUUCAAUAACCACUAGAGCUCAAAUGCUAACCAUUACAAGUUACUCAAUGGAUCCUCACAGCAAACUGCAUUCAUCCAUGAGAACACUAAUCUCCCACCAUUAG